GAGGUGCGGAAGUUUGCCGCAGCCGCUCAUUGGCAGGCGAAGCCGCUUUCAUCAUUUCUCAGAAAAGUCGAUUUCAUUUUCACUUCCCUCCUGCAACAGCGACAUCAGCACGCUGCCGUGGUGUGGGGGAAGGAGGGGGGGCGAGGCGGAAAUGGAGGUUUCAGUUCCUCGGCAAGGAAAGUCAGAGCUUGCAAACAGCAACUGAUCCCCCGCCACCACCCAUCCACCUUCGCUGUCUUCACCCCCACGUUGUUUAUUUGUUUUUGCAGCCCUGCUUCACGACGGAUGCUGCAUCCUGGGAACGGAAUGGCGUCGGGCUGAAGCAUCUGGCGGAUCCUUCUGCGAGGAGACUCUUUUAGGAGAAGCCAUUCCUUUUCUGAGAUGAUUCGACAAGAUGAUGUGUAACUUCUGCCUGAGAUGUGCUAUUUCUUGAAUGCAGACAAUGACUCAUUCUUGAUUUUGCCUCUCUGUCUUCACUGAUUUUUUCAUCCGGUCAUUUCCGUCACUUCCCUCUUUUCAUCUUUGCUCAAGGGAUAUAUCAAAAGCAAAAGCUUAUUUCAUAUAAUAGAUAAAAGCAUAGUCAGUCAGUACCAAGGCUUGAAAAUGAGUGGGAGAACCCCUUUAGGGAGAUGCCAAAAUUAAUUCCUGUUCAUUUGUUCCCAGUAUUUCUUUUCAGUGUGCCACCUUAUCCUUUCUGUUCAUUAAAUCAUUUGAAAUUCAAAACAA
Long non-coding RNA from Elgaria multicarinata webbii, 726 nucleotides. RefSeq lists it as uncharacterized. NCBI's taxonomy places the organism in Eukaryota, Metazoa, Chordata, Lepidosauria, Squamata, Anguidae. The record is from RefSeq and is a predicted model, not a curated record. The transcript is spliced from 2 exons.